This 253-nucleotide ribosomal RNA is filed under the name uncultured bacterium. RNAcentral describes it as "partial 16S ribosomal RNA". It matches the Rfam family "Bacterial small subunit ribosomal RNA", at positions 524 to 776 of the family's 1533-position model. The record is from RNAcentral.
UACGUAGGGUGCAAGCGUUGUCCGGAAUUAUUGGGCGUAAAGAGCUCGUAGGCGGUCUGUUGCGUCGGCUGUGAAAACCCGGGGCUCAACCCCGGGCCUGCAGCCGAUACGGGCAGACUAGAGUUCGGCAGGGGAGACUGGAAUUCCUGGUGUAGCGGUGAAAUGCGCAGAUAUCAGGAGGAACACCAGUGGCGAAGGCGCCGCUCUGGGCCGAGACUGACGCUGAGGAGCGAAAGCGUGGGUAGCAAACAGG